Molecule: ribosomal RNA, 253 nt
Filed under: uncultured bacterium
Lineage: Bacteria
Description: partial 16S ribosomal RNA
Rfam family: Bacterial small subunit ribosomal RNA
Source: RNAcentral
UCCGAAGGGGGCUAGCGUUGCUCGGAAUCACUGGGCGUAAAGCGCACGUAGGCGGACUCUUAAGUCGGUGGUGAAAUCCUGGAGCUCAACUCCAGAACUGCCUUCGAUACUGAGAGUCUCGAGUCCGGGAGAGGUGAGUGGAACUGCGAGUGUAGAGGUGAAAUUCGUAGAUAUUCGCAAGAACACCAGUGGCGAAGGCGGCUCACUGGCCCGGUACUGACGCUGAGGUGCGAAAGCGUGGGGAGCAAACAGG